GAUGAACGCUAGCGACAGGCCUAACACAUGCAAGUCGAGGGGCAUCGGGGCGUAGCAAUACGCUGCCGGCGACCGGCGGAUGGGUGAGUAACGCGUAUGCAACCUGCCUUCAGCAGGGGGAUAGCCCGUUGAAAGACGGAUUAAUACCCCGUAACACAGGGGCUCCGCAUGGAGAUUAUUGUUAAAGGGAUACUUCCUUCGGGGGGUAUUCCGGCUGAAGAUGGGCAUGCGUUCCAUUAGGUAGUUGGUUGAGGUAACGGCUCACCAAGCCUACGAUGGAUAGGGGAACUGAGAGGUUGGUCCCCCACACUGGUACUGAGACACGGACCAGACUCCUACGGGAGGCAGCAGUGAGGAAUCUUGGUCAAUGGACGGAAGUCUGAACCAGCCAUGUCGCGUGAAGGAGGACGGCCCUAAGGGUUGUAAACUUCUUUUGCAGGGGGAAUAAAGUAUUCCACGAGAUGGGAUAUUGCAAGUACGCUGCGAAUAAGGAUCGGCUAACUCCGUGCCAGC
This 513-nucleotide ribosomal RNA is filed under the name uncultured bacterium. RNAcentral's name for it is "bacterial SSU rRNA". It matches the Rfam family "Bacterial small subunit ribosomal RNA", at positions 28 to 512 of the family's 1533-position model. The record is from RNAcentral.